Molecule: ribosomal RNA, 250 nt
Filed under: uncultured bacterium
Lineage: Bacteria
Description: partial 16S ribosomal RNA
Rfam family: Archaeal small subunit ribosomal RNA
Source: RNAcentral
UACCAGCACCCCGAGUGGUCGGGACGUUUAUUGGGCCUAAAGCAUCCGUAGCCGGUUCUACAAGUCUUCCGUUAAAUCCAGCUGCUUAACAGAUGGGCUGCGGAAGAUACUAUGGAGCUAGGAGGCGGGAGAGGCAAGCGGUACUCGAUGGGUAGGGGUAAAAUCCGUUGAUCCAUUGAAGACCACCAGUGGCGAAGGCGGCUUGCCAGAACGCGCUCGACGGUGAGGGAUGAAGCUGGGGAGCAACCGG